GCGCCGCUUUUCGCGUCACAGUGGUUCCCACGGUUGUCUUAGGAACCAGUCCUCGAGGCUUGGCAACGCGGGAGCCCUCCGUGGCAGCGCUUGGGUGUCGGGCCUCCGAGGCUCCGGCCUGACCUCUCCAGGGGGUCCACAGGAACGUCUCCGGCUGCCAGGAGUCGCAAGGGGCCGAGCAGGGUGACGAAACCACAGGUGGAGUCCGGGGGAAGCAGCGUGGCAUCCCAGCCUCAGGCCUGCCAGGACGGUGUUCGGGAUCAAGAAGACCACACUCCAGCCCAGGACAAAAGCCCCACGGUAGCACAUAGUCCAGCAGGAGAGGAGCAGACCCAUGUCCAAGAAGAUGGUUGUACCUUUCCACGCCUCUUCUCUGUGAAAUGAAGCCACACAACGACACAAUCUUGAAGAGGAAGCCGUGAAUGGAGACAGCAACAAUCCGUGUCCCUGAAACGCUGGCCUCUCUGGACAAGCCAUGCAUUUCGCACCCCUCCUGUUAUGCCCGUGUAGGUGCCACGGCCCUGUAUCCUACCUGGGCUCUGGCCUCCGCUCUGUCCUCCCUCUUGCUCUGUCUCCCCUGUUUCUGAGCGGCCUAGUUGCCUCUUGGCCUGGCUGAAUAUCUUCUACGAAGAUCACUUCCCAGUCCGUCAGGGAGACUCUUCCUGGAGAUCCGUGUCAUGACUGUUUCUCUCUCCAAACCUGUUUCUGCUGGGUUGGUUAGGUCUGGUGACCCUGGAGCUCUUGGCUUCCAUACAUGUCUCAGCCACGGAAGCUUCCUCGGUCUCCAUGUUUCACCUCAUGUGUGGGUGGAUUGUCUAGAAUUAGUUGUAGGCGACAGUGACUGGUCUUGUCUUCUAGGACAGGAGAGGUGCCGCAUUUCUUUUGCACUUCCUGUCUCAUUCUUUAGGGACAUGCUCUUCUCUGUUCCUGGGUGUACUGAGUCCCUGAAUCUUUUGGCCCCCUCCUGCAUCCCAGGUGUUCUUUGAUUUUCCUUCGCAUUGAUGGAAAGUUCACUUGUGCCCCGCUUCCGCCGGCCACAUGCCUGGACACCAUUUUUUGUUUCACCAUCGCCCCAUACGCCCUCGGUGACUCACAUUUACGCCAUCUGCUCUGCGGUACGCCGUGCCACGUAUGGUCUCAUUGGCUCCACCUCGGAAUUUCCCCUGUCCCUCUGUUCACGUGUCCUGGAAAGUGGUAUCAGCUUUGAAGUGCCCCAGGGCUUUUCUUUUUUCAAAGGAGAAGGGAGGCAGAGGGCUCUUGGGUCAGUGAAUUUUCAGCUGACACCUCGCCUUGGGGCCCAUGGGAUCAUUCUGGGAUGCAGCAAGGCCCUGCCUGCCUAGCAGAUAUGGUGAGCCCAUCCUUUCUCACCCGGAGGGGUCCAAAGUCAAAUCUCAAGAGGAGUCCUGGGACCCCAGCAGGCGCCCAGAAGCUCCACCUCCACCCCGGAAGUCGGCUUAAGGAGGUCUUGAAGACCGCACUCCUGGGGGUUUGGCCUUGGGAUGCCUGUGGCGUCCUCUCCCACACUGCCCCCUGCUGGACCCCUGAUCCAGCCGCCGCCAGGGCUGCAACGCAAGCCGCCCUUCCUCCGCGUAGCCACUAUUGUUUAAAGGGGUCGCAGCCUGACUGCCAGGAGCGGAGUGCGACUCGGCCCCUCCAAUGCGCAUGCGCAAGGCCCUAGCGCAUGCUCCACUCGCAGUUAUUCCCACGGUUGCCUUAGAAACCCGUCCCUGAGGCUUGGCAAAGCAGGAGCCCUCAGUGGCAGUGCUUGGGUGUCGGGGCUCCGAGGCUCCGGCCUGACCUCUCCAUGGGGUCGACAGGAACAUCUCUGGCUGCCAGGAGUCGCAAAGGGCCGACCAGGAUGACGAAACCACAGGCGAAGUCCAGGGGAAGCGGCAUGGCAUGCCAGCCUCAGGCCUGCCCGGACGGUGUUCGGGGGUGGAGCCAACCAAAGUCAAAGAAGAUUGUUGUAUCUUUUCACAGCUCUUCUCUGAGAACGAAGCCACACAACGAUACAAUCUUGAAGAAGAAGCUAGGAAUGGGAGAUGACAACAAUCCCUGUCACUGGAACACUGGCCUCUCUGGGCAAGUCACCAGUUUGGCACCCCUCCCCUUAUGCCUGUACCGAUGGCAUGGUGCUAUAUCCUGCCUGGGCUCUGGCCUCUGCUCUGUCCUCCCUCUUGCUCUGUCUCCCCUGUUUCUGAGGGGUCUUGAUGUUUCUUGGUCUGUCUGAAUGUCUUCAACAAAGACCACUUCCCAGUCCUCCAGGGCGACACUUCCUAGAGAUCCGUGUCAUGAUUGUUUCUCCCUCCAAACCUGUUUCUGCUUGAUUAGCCAGGGUUGAUGAUCCUGGGGUUCUUGGCUUCCAUACGUGUCUCAGACAGGGAAGCUAGCUUGGUCUCCAUGUUUCACCUCAUGGGUGAGUGGAUUGCCUAGAAUGAGCAGUAGGUGACUGUGACUGGCCUUGUCUUCUAGGGCAGGCACAUGUCGCAUUUCCUCUGCACUUCCUGUCUCAUUCUUGAGAAACAUGCUCCCCUCUGCUCAUGGGUGGACUGACUCCUUGAAUCUUUUGGCUGUAGUGAAAGUCAGGGAUCCAAUGGGACUGGGCUGGGGCUGGAGCUGGAUGCAGGGGAGGUUCCGUCAGGGCUACUUGGGCAUUGGAGGAUUGGGGGUGGAUUGAACUUUGCAUAAACCUCUUUACUCCUCCAGCAGGCUUUUCAAAAUGUGGCUUGGACUCAUGCAAUAAGAAAUUUAUGGGUUGAAAGGGCCCCUUUUUCAAUGGCACUCUGGGUAACAUCGCUUCAGCACAAUCAUAUGAUAGAGAAGCCUUAUCAAAUUUGCUGUCCCUCAGGGCUCUUAAAGAUGCUUGAUAAAUGAUUAGGGAAAUAAGAAAAAAAUUGAAAGGAAAAGGAAGUCCAAGGACCUGCCCCAGAAGAAUCAUAGAUAUGUUUGAAUACUUAUUCAUUAUUUGCCCAAGAUAGAAAAUGUUUGUUAAUCAAAAGGCAAAAGUUAUAAUGAGGAAGAUAAUAUUGCCUGGGGCAAUGUUGAGACAAAUAAGGUGAAGAUCAACCAAACGCCCUGAGUCCUUUGGCCCAAAUCCCUGCUGGGGACCCAAAUACUUUUGAUAUAGCAUCUUGCUACCUGAGGAAUGCAAGGAGAAUAAUACUCAUAAGCAGAGCCUCUGUUUUCCCAUAGGACUGACUCUAACUAUGUGAAGAACUGCUACAUAUUCUACAGUGCUUGAUAGGCGGUGCCAAUCUAACAGGAGCUGUUUGGCUUGUGGAUAGCAGUUCCAGGAUGAACAAAUGAUAUUGUGUUUGAAAGCCACUGCUCUUAUUAAAGAAGAGUCAAGCAAAUGUUUUUAUUUUGAGUUAUUUAUAGUUUAGAAAAAUUGGGUGAAGUGUGUUUUUGUGAGCAAAUUUAUUUUUCUCUAGGUUAUCCGUAAUUUGAAAGCUGUGAGUAUUCUGAUUAGGUGACAAUAUAGUUAUUUGCUUAAGUACAUCUUUUAUUGUAAAAUGGGACAAAUGGAGACACUGGUUAUUUUACCCAGGCUUUGACUAGAAUAACUUAAUUUUAGGUAAAUCCCAACAAACCCAACUUAAGAGGAGUCUAUAUGACCAAUUAAUUGUUUCUGCACUUUAAGCAAAUACUCAGGAAGUACUAGUCCCUUCUCACACUGCUAUAAAGAUAUUACCUGAGACUGGGUAAUUUAUAAACAAAAGAGGUUUAACUGACAGUUCUGCGUAGCCAGGGAGGCCUCAGAAAACUUACAGUUAUGAUAGAAAGGAAAGUAGGCUCCUUCUUUACAAUGUGGCAGGAGAGACUGUGUGUGUGUGUGUGUGUGUAAAGGAUAAAAUGUCAAACACUUAUACAAUCAUCAGAUUUCAUAACUCACUAUCAUGAAAACAGCAUGGGUGAAACAACUCCCAUGAUACAAUCACCUCCCACCAGGAGGGAUGACAAUUUGAAAUGAGAUUUGGGUGAGGACACAGAGUCAAGCCAUAUCACAAGCCAACCAUAAUAAGCCUAAAACUUAUUUUUCACACAAAUUGUUCUCACUAUGACUUCUCUUAGAGAUUGUUUCAAGGGAAAAGGGUAAUGCUUGUUACUAAAUGUCAGCUCUGGUUUUUAUUUUAUUGAGUACAAAUUGAAUCAUAAAAUUUUUCUAUUUUAUUUUAUUUUCCUUUAAGUUCCAGGAUACAUGUGCAGAAUGUGCAGGUUUGUUAAGUAGGUAUAUACGUGUCAUGGUAGUUUGCUAUACCUAUUGACCCAUCCUUUAAGUUCCCUCCCCUCACCCCUCACCCCCCAACAGGCCCUGGUGUAUGCUUUUCUGCUCCCUGUGUCCAUGUGUUCUCAUUGUUCAACUUCCACUUAUGAGUGAGAACAUGUGGUGUUUGGUUUUCUGUUCCUGUUUUAGUUUGCUAAGGAUGAUGGCUUCCAGCUUCAUCAAUGUCCCUGCAAAGGGCAUGAUCUCAUUCCCUUUAUGGCUGCAUAGUAUUCCAUGAUGUAUAUGUACUACAUUUUGUUUAUCCAGUCUAUCCUUGAUGGGCAUUUGGACUAGUUCCAUGACUUUGCUAUUGUAAAUAGUGCUGCAAUAAACAUAUGUGUGCAUGUGUCUUUAUAGUAGAAUAAUUUAUAUUAUUUUGGGUAUAUAUCCAGUAAUGGGGUUGCUGGGUCAAAUGGUAUUUCUGGUUUUAGAUCCUUGAGGAAUCAUCAUACUGUCUUCCACAAUGGUUGAACUAAUUUACAUGCCCACCAACAGUGUAAAAGCAUUCCUAUUUCUCCACAGCCUGGUCAGCUUCUACUGUUUCUUGAUUUUUUAAUAACUGCCAUCCGACUGGUGUUAGAUGGUAUCUCAUUGUAGUUUUGAUUUGCAUUUCUCAAAUAAUCAGUGAUGUUGAACUUUUUUUAUAUGUUUGUUGGCCAUGUAAAUAUCUUCUUUGGAGAAGUGUCUGUUCAUGUUCUUUGCCCCAUUUUUUGGUUGGGUUAUUUGUUUUUUUCUUGUGAAUUUGUUUAAUUUCCUUGUAAAUUCUGGCUAUUAGACCUUUGUCAGAUGGGUAGAUUGCAAAAUUUUUCUCCCAUUCUGUUGUUUGCCUAUUCACUCUGAUGAUAGUUUCUUUUGCUGUGCAGAAGCUCUUUAGUUUACUUAGAUCUCAUUUGUCAAUCUUGGCUUCUGUUGCAGUUGCUUUUGGCAUUUUUGUCAUGAAGUCUUUGCUCAUGCCUAUGUCCUGAAUGGUAUUGCCCAGGUUUUCUUCUAGUGUUUUUAUGGUUUGGGGCUUGACAUUUAAGUCUUAUGUUUAAGGUUUAAAGUCUUAAGUUUAAGGUUUAAGGAAGGGUUCCAGUUUCAAUUUUCUGCAUAUGGCUAGUGAAUUUUCCCAGCUCUAUUUAUUGAGUAGGAGAUUCUUUCUUCAUUGCUUCUUUUCGUCAGGUUUGUUGAAGAUCAUAUGGAUGUAGAUGUGUGGUUUUAUUUCUGAGGUCUUUGUUCUGUUUCAUUAGUCUAUAUGUCUGUUUUGGUACAAGUACCAUGCUGUGUUAGUUAGUGUAGCCUUGUAGUAUAGUUUGAAGUAGUGUGAUGCCUCCAACUUUGUUCUUUUUGCUAUUCCAAACAAUUGGAAAGGAGUGACUUCCCCCUAACUCAUUUUAUGAAGCCAGCAUCAUCCUGAUAGCAGAAUCAGGAAGACAAACACACACACACUUCAGGCCAAUAUCCCUGAUGAACAUCGAUGCACAAAUCCUCAAUAAAAUACUAGCAAACUGAAUUCAGCAGCACAUCAAAACACUUAUCUACCACAAUCAAGUCAGCUUCAUCCCUGGGAUGCAAGACUGUUCCACAAUGCACAAAUAAAUAAACAUAAUCCAUCAACAUAAACAGAACCAAAGACAAAAACCAAGUGAUUAUCUCAAUAGGUGCAGAAAAGGCCUUUGAUAAAAUUCAACACCACUUCAUGUUAAAAACUCUCAAUAAACUAGGUAUUGAUGGAACAUAUCUCAAAAUAAUAAGAGCUAUUUAUGACAACCCUACAGCCAAUAUCACAGUCAAUGGGCAAAAGCUGGAAGCAUUGCCUUUGAAAACCAGUACAAGACAAGGAAGCCCUCUCUCACCACUUCUAUUCAACAUAGUAUUGGAAGUUCUGGCGAGGGCAAUCAGGCAAGAGGAAGAAAUAAAGGGUAUUCAUAUAGGAAGAGAGGAAGUCAAGUUGCCUCUGAUUGCAGAUGAUAUGCUGUUAUAUUUAGAAAACUCCAUAAUCUCAAUCCCAAAACCCCUUAAACUGAUAAGCAACUUCAGCAAAGUCUCAUGAUAUAAAAUCAAUGUCCAAAAAUCACAAGCAUUCCUUUACACCAACAAUAGACAAGUAGAGAGACAAAUAAUGAAUGAACUCCCAUUCACAAUUGCUAAAAAAAUGAAUAAAAUACCUAGAAAUACAGCUAACAAGGGAUGUGAAAGACCUCUUCAAGGAGAACUACAAACCACUCCUCAAGGAAAUAAGAGGACAUACACAAAUGGAAAAACAUUCCAUCCCCAUGGAUAGGAAAAAUCAAUACUAUAAAAAUAGCCAUAUUGCCCAAAGUAAUUUAUAGAUUCAGUGCUAUUCCCAUCAAAUUACCACUGACAUUCUUCACAGAAUUAGAAAAAUCUACUUUAAAUUUCAUACAGAACCAAAGAAGACCCCGUAUAGCCAAGAUGAUCCUGAGAAUCCUGAAAGUUUUCAUAGUUAUAAUAAUCUUCUAAUGAGUACAAGAUUAUCAUUUUUCUUCAUAUUUUCAGUUGGUGACCUAAUGAAAUAGGGUAUUUUUUCUCUUUUGACACACAAGUACUCUUCUGAUGGUCAAAAUAUUUAGUUAUUUAUCUCUCCUUGUUUCACUUCAAAGGAAACCAGAAUCAUGGCAUUCUGAAAGUUAGAGAUGCAAAUCUCCAUUAUUUGGCAUCCCACUGGACCCGAUCUGUUUUUCAUUGCAAACGUCCUGCUGCUAAGACUAUGCAAGGACCCUCCCUCUAGGCCCAGAGACUGUUGCAGAGGAGAUGGGUGCAUGAGAUUGUAAGGGCUGGUUUUGAGGGAUACAGUUAGCUCAGACACUCCAAAUCAAGGAGGGUACACAGGUGCCUAAACAGCUUGUAAAACAAAGAACUUUGCUUUCUCAGCUAUUAUGUGGCACCUUUUUAUCCACCUCAACCAUGAAAAAUGUCCUGCUUCCUGGAAUUAAAUCAAAAUAAUUAUUAAGAGUAUAAAGAUACCUCAUGACCAAGCCUCCUGGGCAUAAUACUCCCAGUUAUAAGUCUUGCAGAUAUAUAUAUAUAUAUAUGUAGAUAUAUAAAAUUAUUUUUUAGAAAAAUGUGUAUGUUUUGUAUAGUUAAUCACCGUAAGUCUGUAAUGAAAACCAAGAUUAUAGUAGCUUAAUGCAUAGAAGUGAAAGAAAAGUCAAUUUUUGUAAACUCGCCAUUGGCUUUUUGUUUUUGGCUCUUUACUUUAAAUAAAUCUUUUAAGAGGUAAUGAAUGCCUGUCCGAGUCCAUUCCUAUCUUUCCUAGAACACUUACUUGUCUAUAAGUAUUUUGACUUCAAGUCCCUCCACCAUAGGGAGUCUCAUUGAAGGACAGGAUGGACACAGGGCAGGCCGAUAUGCCACCCAAGCAGUGCUAGGGGAAAAAAAAUAAUAGCCAUUGAUGCUGAUGCUGGCAAAUAUUGGCCAUAAAGGGAAGAAUGUAAGCCAAAAAUAAAAUUCUAAGCACUUCAACCAUCUGAAUGUACCCCUCCUCUCGGCCAUAGGGAUUCCAGAUUGAAACUGAAAAUCUUGUUCAGGCCAUGAUGGAAGAGAGCAUUGGACAGGCUUCAUUAUAUUUCUCCAGCAUUAACAUCAACACAGACCUUAAGACAUCAACAUCAGAUCUAAGAGUCUGAUCAGAAAUAUUUAACAUCUAUUUUCUCUGAAGCCUGCUACCUGGAGGCUUUAUCUGCCUGAUAAUAUCUAGGUUUCUCCAACUCCUUAUCUUAACCCAGACAUUCCUUUCUACUGAUAAUAACUCUUUCAACCAAUUGCCAAUCAGAAAAUUUUAAAAUCUACCUAUAACCUGGAAGUCCCUACUUCGAGUUGUCCUGCCCUUGCAGACUGAAACAAUAUAUACCUUACAUGUAUUGACUGAUGUCUCAUGUCUCCCUAAAAUGUGUAAAACUAGGCUGUGUCCUGACCAUCUUGUGCAGAUGUUCUCAGGGUCUCCUGAGGGCUGUGUCAUGGCCCAUUGGUCACUUAUAUUUGGCUCAGAAUAA
This is a long non-coding RNA of Gorilla gorilla gorilla (western lowland gorilla), 8259 nucleotides long. RefSeq lists it as uncharacterized. NCBI's taxonomy places the organism in Eukaryota, Metazoa, Chordata, Mammalia, Primates, Hominidae. The record is from RefSeq and is a predicted model, not a curated record. The transcript is spliced from 3 exons.